AUUGAACGCUAGCGGCAGGCCUAAUACAUGCAAGUCGAGGGGUAGAGAAGAGCUUGCUUUUCUUGAGACCGGCGCACGGGUGCGUAACGCGUAUGCAACCUACCUUUAUCAGGGGGAUAGCCUCUCGAAAGAGAGAUUAACACCGCAUAAAAACACAGUACGGCAUCGUACAAUGUUCAAAUAUUUAUAGGAUAAAGAUGGGCAUGCGUGACAUUAGCUAGUUGGUGAGGUAAGGGCUCACCAAGGCGACGAUGUCUAGGGGAUCUGAGAGGAUGACCCCCCACACUGGAAAUGAGACAAGGACCAGCCUCCUACGGGAGGCCGCGGUAAAGAAAAUUGGUCAAGGGGGGCAACCCUGAACCAGCCAUGCCGCGUGCAGGAAGACGGCCCGACGGGUUGGAAACUGCUUUUAUACGGGAAUAAACCCCUUUACGUGUAAAGGGUUGAAUGUACUGUAAGAAUAAGGAUCGGCUAACUCCGUGCCAGCAGCCGCCGUAA
RNAcentral lists this ribosomal RNA (498 nucleotides) under uncultured bacterium. Its description in RNAcentral is "partial 16S ribosomal RNA". It matches the Rfam family "Bacterial small subunit ribosomal RNA", at positions 30 to 523 of the family's 1533-position model. The record is from RNAcentral.